RNAcentral lists this ribosomal RNA (505 nucleotides) under uncultured bacterium. RNAcentral's name for it is "partial 16S ribosomal RNA". It matches the Rfam family "Bacterial small subunit ribosomal RNA", at positions 28 to 507 of the family's 1533-position model. The record is from RNAcentral.
GACGAACGCUGGCGGCGUGCCUAAUACAUGCAAGUAGAACGCACAGUUUAUACCGUAGCUUGCUACACCAUAGACUGUGAGUUGCGAACGGGUGAGUAACGCGUAGGUAACCUGCCUGGUAGCGGGGGAUAACUAUUGGAAACGAUAGCUAAUACCGCAUAAUAUUGAUUAUUGCAUGAUAAUUGAUUGAAAGAUGCUAUUGCAUCACUACCAGAUGGACCUGCGUUGUAUUAGCUAGUAGGUGAGGUAACGGCUCACCUAGGCGACGAUACAUAGCCGACCUGAGAGGGUGGUCGGCCACACUGGGACUGAGACACGGCCCAGACGCCUACGGGAGGCAGCAGUAGGGAAUCUUCGGCAAUGGACGAAAGUCUGACCGAGCAACGCCGCGUGAGUGAAGAAGGUUUUCGGAUCGUAAAGCUCUGUUGUAAGAGAAGAACGGGUGUGAGAGUGGAAAGUUCACACUGUGACGGUAUCUUACCAGAAAGGGACGGCUAACUACGUG